This 850-nucleotide ribosomal RNA is filed under the name uncultured bacterium. RNAcentral describes it as "bacterial SSU rRNA". It matches the Rfam family "Bacterial small subunit ribosomal RNA", at positions 44 to 892 of the family's 1533-position model. The record is from RNAcentral.
GCGCUGCUUACAUGCAGUCGACGGCAGCGCGGACUUCGGUCUGGCGGCGAGUGGCGAACGGGUGAGUAAUACAUCGGAACGUGCCCUGUUGUGGGGGAUAACUAGUCGAAAGAUUAGCUAAUACCGCAUACGACCUGAGGGUGAAAGCGGGGGACCGUAAGGCCUCGCGCAAUAGGAGCGGCCGAUGUCUGAUUAGCUAGUUGGUGGGGUAAAGGCCCACCAAGGCGACGAUCAGUAGCUGGUCUGAGAGGACGAUCAGCCACACUGGGACUGAGACACGGCCCAGACUCCUACGGGAGGCAGCAGUGGGGAAUUUUGGACAAUGGGGGCAACCCUGAUCCAGCAAUGCCGCGUGUGUGAAGAAGGCCUUCGGGUUGUAAAGCACUUUUGUCCGGAAAGAAAUCGCGUUGGAUAAUACCCGACGUGGAUGACGGUACCGGAAGAAUAAGCACCGGCUAACUACGUGCCAGCAGCCGCGGUAAUACGUAGGGUGCGAGCGUUAAUCGGAAUUACUGGGCGUAAAGCGUGCGCAGGCGGUUUUGUAAGACAGGCGUGAAAUCCCCGGGCUCAACCUGGGAAUUGCGCUUGUGACUGCAAGGCUAGAGUGCGUCAGAGGGGGGUAGAAUUCCACGUGUAGCAGUGAAAUGCGUAGAGAUGUGGAGGAAUACCGAUGGCGAAGGCAGCCCCCUGGGACGUGACUGACGCUCAUGCACGAAAGCGUGGGGAGCAAAUAGGAUUAGAUACCCUGGUAGUCCACGCCCUAAACGAUGUCAACUAGUUGUUGGGGAUUCAUUUCCUCAGUAACGUAGCUAACGCGUGAAGUUGACCGCCUGGGGAGUACGGUCGCAAG